CGUAACAAGGUUUCCGUAGGUGAACCUGCGGAAGGAUCAUUACCUAGAGUUGUAGACUUUGCCUGCUAUCUCUUACCCAUGUCUUUUGAGUACCUUCGUUUCCUCGGCGGGUCCGCCCGCCGAUUGGACAAUUUAAACCAUUUGCAGUUGCAAUCAGCGUCUGAAAAAACUUAAUAGUUACAACUUUCAACAACGGAUCUCUUGGUUCUGGCAUCGAUGAAGAACGCAGCGAAAUGCGAUAAGUAGUGUGAAUUGCAGAAUUCAGUGAAUCAUCGAAUCUUUGAACGCACAUUGCGCCCCUUGGUAUUCCAUGGGGCAUGCCUGUUCGAGCGUCAUUUGUACCUUCAAGCUCUGCUUGGUGUUGGGUGUUUGUCUCGCCUCUGCGCGCAGACUCGCCUCAAAACAAUUGGCAGCCGGCGUAUUGAUUUCGGAGCGCAGUACAUCUCGCGCUUUGCACUCAUAACGACGACGUCCAAAAGUACAUUUUUACACUCUUGACCUCGGAUCAGGUAGGGAUACCCGCUGAACUUAAGCAUAUCA
RNAcentral lists this ribosomal RNA (540 nucleotides) under uncultured fungus. RNAcentral's name for it is "eukaryotic LSU rRNA". The stretch from base 182 to 335 matches the Rfam family "5.8S ribosomal RNA". The record is from RNAcentral. Lineage: Eukaryota; Fungi.